GGAGCUUGCUCCACCGAAAGAAAAAGAGUGGCGAACGGGUGAGUAACACGUGGGUAACCUGCCCAUCAGAAGGGGAUAACACUUGGAAACAGGUGCUAAUACCGUAUAACACUAUUUUCCGCAUGGAAGAAAGUUGAAAGGCGCUUUUGCGUCACUGAUGGAUGGACCCGCGGUGCAUUAGCUAGUUGGUGAGGUAACGGCUCACCAAGGCAACGAUGCAUAGCCGACCUGAGAGGGUGAUCGGCC
This 246-nucleotide ribosomal RNA is filed under the name Enterococcus casseliflavus. RNAcentral's name for it is "partial 16S ribosomal RNA". It matches the Rfam family "Bacterial small subunit ribosomal RNA", at positions 75 to 309 of the family's 1533-position model. Lineage: Bacteria; Bacillati; Bacillota; Bacilli; Lactobacillales; Enterococcaceae. The record is from RNAcentral.